This 420-nucleotide ribosomal RNA is filed under the name Fusobacteriota bacterium. RNAcentral describes it as "Fusobacteria bacterium partial 16S ribosomal RNA". It matches the Rfam family "Bacterial small subunit ribosomal RNA", at positions 355 to 776 of the family's 1533-position model. Lineage: Bacteria; Fusobacteriati; Fusobacteriota. The record is from RNAcentral.
UGGGGGAUAUUGCACAAUGGGCGAAAGCCUGAUGCAGCGACGCCGCGUGGGGGAUGAAGGCCUUCGGGUUGUAAACUUCUUUUGCUCUGAACAAGGCAUGCCUUUGGGGUGUGUUGAGUGUAGGGGUUGAUUAGCGCCGGCUAACUACGUGCCAGCAGCCGCGGUAAUACGUAGGGCGCGAGCGUUGUCCGGAAUUAUUGGGCGUAAAGGGCUUGUAGGUGGCUGGUUGCGUCUGUCGUGAAAGCUCAUGGCUUAACUGUGGGUUUGCGGUGGGUACGGGCUGGCUUGAGUGCAGUAGGGGAGGCUGGAAUUCCUGUUGUAGCGGUGGAAUGCGCAGAUAUCAGGAGGAAUACCGGUGGCGAAGGCGGGUCUCUGGGCUGUUACUGACGCUGAGGAGCGAAAGCGUGGGGAGCGAACAGG